GGGAGAAAGAUCAGAAAGAGGAGAAGAAAGGGAUCAGCAGAUCCUUGUUAUAAUUUGUAGUUAUUUGUUUUUGUUGUUUUUGUUGUUGUU
RNAcentral lists this non-coding RNA (90 nucleotides) under Paramoeba aestuarina. Lineage: Eukaryota; Discosea; Flabellinia; Dactylopodida; Paramoebidae. The record is from RNAcentral.